Non-coding RNA from Hydra vulgaris (swiftwater hydra), 1539 nucleotides. The record is from RefSeq and is a predicted model, not a curated record. NCBI's taxonomy places the organism in Eukaryota, Metazoa, Cnidaria, Hydrozoa, Anthoathecata, Hydridae.
UUUCAAAAAUCCAAGUAGUUUUUUGUUUUCAGAAAAAGCAUCUAAAGUAACCUUAAACAUAUAAAAAAAAGAAAGUUUAUUGUACGUUGUCGGCUUUUCGACGGAAGUAAUCUCCAAAUGUUGGCAGACGAUGAGUAAAAAAAUAAAAAGAAUUUCAUAUGCUCAAAUUAAAAAUUUGCUGCUUAUAUGCAUACAAUUUUUUAGCAAAUUUAUACGUAUUGCUGCUGGAAAACAGUUACAGUAGUUUGGAUUUAUAAUAUCUAUGACAUCAUCUAUUUGGAAUUAAUCUAUUGUUUUGAGAAAAUUGUGAUUUAUUAACACUGAGCAGCCCAGUGAACGCAAUAAAUAAAGGCACAGGAAACAUUCAGGAAACAUUGCAGCGUUAUCAUCUGACGGUUGCAAAGAUUGGAUAAACAUAAGAAAAAUACUUGUAUCCCAUAAAGAAUCUAAUGACAAUAAGAAAGUCUUGAUGAUCUUCCUCACACAAAAAUCGAAUAAUCGAGCACAAUAAAGUUAAAAGAACAGACUAAAACUGCAAACAUUGCUAUAAUAUUUUAGAGCGGGUAGUAGCAGCAAUAAAAUUUUUAUCUGAAUGCGGACAUGACGAAAACUGGGGCUCUUCACACAAUGGAAAUUUUAUGGGCCUUACGGAACUGAUUUCAGAAUUCAAUUCUUUUUUAAAAUAACGUUUAAAAAAGCUGGGCUAAAAUAAUAUACAAUCUAACUCAUCUAAGUGAAAUCUAUUACUUACUUAACUGUAUAUGAAAUGUGCAGCUCAUGCGAAAAAUUUUUUAAAACGAAUUAUUGAGCAGAUAAUUGAUGUCGAUGUCAAUGAUGAGCAGAUAAACGAUACAAAAUACUAUACACUUAUUGUAGAUUCCAUUGCUCAUACAGCUGGCAAUAAUAUUAAGUUACUGUUGCUGGCAAUAAUAUUAAGAUAACGGAAAAAUAUUUGAACAGUUUACAACCUUUCGUUUGUGCGUUGUAAUGGAAAUAACAUUAUAUUUUGGAACUAUUCAACACAUUUACACUUAUUUCUUUGCAUCCUCACACCGUUGGAAAAUUUUGAGUGAAAAAGCGUCACUGACAUUUUCAAUAAAAAAUUUAAACACCAUUAGAUUUUUUAUGCGGUUUAUGCGGUUAAGUUAGCUAUCAAAACUAGCUAUCAAAUAAUAGCUAUCAAAAGUUAGCUAUCAAAUUCUAGUCAGUUUAUUCGGUUAAAGUUAGCUAUCAUAAAACACUCGAUACCCUUAAAUAUAUAUUUGAUGAAAGUUCUGAAAAAGCAGACUGUAAAUUUGAGGCAAAAGGUUUAUAUAAAAGAUUUAAAAAGCGGGAAACAGCAGUUUUUUUAAUUAUUUAAUAAAUUUAACAAAACACUACAAACACCUGGUUUAGAUAUAUGUGAAAGACAUAUGGCGUAUUCCAUUCACUGAAGUUAUAUAUAAAAUCUUUACGUAAAGAUUCCAAGCUGAAAAAAAAAGACUUUGAGAACAAAUUAGCCAAAAUGAGUCCACAGGUCAAAAAAAUUUUUAGUGAUAU